Molecule: ribosomal RNA, 428 nt
Filed under: Bacteroidota bacterium
Lineage: Bacteria; Pseudomonadati; Bacteroidota
Description: Bacteroidetes bacterium partial 16S ribosomal RNA
Rfam family: Bacterial small subunit ribosomal RNA
Source: RNAcentral
UAGGGAAUCUUCCGCAAUGGACGCAAGUCUGACGGAGCAACGCCGCGUGAGUGAAGAAGGAUUUCGGUUCGUAAAACUCUGUUGUUAGAGAAGAACAGCGCAUAGAGUAACUGUUAUGCGUGUGACGGUAUCUAACCAGAAAGCCACGGCUAACUACGUGCCAGCAGCCGCGGUAAUACGUAGGUCCCGAGCGUUGUCCGGAUUUAUUGGGCGUAAAGCGAGCGCAGGCGGUUAGAAAAGUCUGAAGUGAAAGGCAGUGGCUCAACCAUUGUAGGCUUUGGAAACUGUUUAACUUGAGUGCAGAAGGGGAGAGUGGAAUUCCAUGUGUAGCGGUGAAAUGCGUAGAUAUAUGGAGGAACACCGGUGGCGAAAGCGGCUCUCUGGUCUGUAACUGACGCUGAGGCUCGAAAGCGUGGGGAGCGAACAGG